GCUCCUGUAGCUCAACUGGAUAGAGCACCCGACUUCUAAUCGGACGGUUGCGAGUUCGAAUCUCGCUGGGAGUACAA
Molecule: transfer RNA, 77 nt
Filed under: Planctomycetota bacterium
Lineage: Bacteria; Pseudomonadati; Planctomycetota
Description: Planctomycetes bacterium tRNA-Arg
Rfam family: tRNA
About the family: Transfer RNA (tRNA) molecules are approximately 80 nucleotides in length.
Source: RNAcentral